CCUACGGGAGGCAGCAGUGGGGAAUAUUGGCACAAUGGGCGAAAGCCUGAUCCAGCAAUGCCGCGUGAGUGAAGAAGGCCUUCGGGUUGUAAAGCUCUUUUACCCGGGAAGAUAAUGACUGUACCGGGAGAAUAAGCCCCGGCUAACUCCGUGCCAGCAGCCGCGGUAAUACGGAGGGGGCUAGCGUUGUUCGGAAUUACUGGGCGUAAAGCGUACGUAGGCGGCUUUGUAAGUCAGAGGUGAAAGCCCACGACUCAAUCGUGGAACUGCCUUUGAGACUGCUUCGCUUGAAGAUGGGAGAGGUUAGUGGAAUUCCGAGUGUAGAGGUGAAAUUCGUAGAUAUUCGGAAGAACACCAGUGGCGAAGGCGGCUAACUGGACCAUUCUUGACGCUGAGGUACGAAAGCGUGGGGAGCAAACAGGAUUAGAUACCCUGGUAGUCCACGCCGUAAACGAUGAUAACUAGCUGUCGGGGCUCUUGGAGCUUCGGUGGCGCAGCUAACGCAUUAAGUUAUCCGCCUGGGGAGUACGGCCGCAAGGUUAAAACUCAAAUGAAUUGACGG
Molecule: ribosomal RNA, 562 nt
Filed under: uncultured Alphaproteobacteria bacterium
Lineage: Bacteria; Pseudomonadati; Pseudomonadota; Alphaproteobacteria
Description: bacterial SSU rRNA
Rfam family: Bacterial small subunit ribosomal RNA
Source: RNAcentral